This 446-nucleotide ribosomal RNA is filed under the name uncultured bacterium. RNAcentral describes it as "bacterial SSU rRNA". It matches the Rfam family "Bacterial small subunit ribosomal RNA", at positions 331 to 796 of the family's 1533-position model. The record is from RNAcentral.
CCAGACUCCUACGGGAGGCAGCAGUCGGGAAUAUUGCGCAAUGGAGGAAACUCUGACGCAGUGACGCCGCGUGCAGGAAGAAGGUUUUCGGAUUGUAAACUGCUUUAGACAGGGAAGAUACAAGACAGUACCUGUAAAAUAAGCUCCGGCUAACUCCGUGCCAGCAGCCGCGGUAAUACGGAGGAUGCGAGCGUUAUCCGGAUUUAUUGGGUUUAAAGGGUGCGCAGGCGGAAUGUCAAGUCAGCGGUAAAAUUUCGGGGCUCAACCCCGUCGUGCCGUUGAAACUGGCGUUCUUGAGUGAGCGAGAAGUAUGCGGAAUGCGUGGUGUAGCGGUGAAAUGCAUAGAUAUCACGCAGAACCCCGAUUGCGAAGGCAGCAUACCGGCGCUCAACUGACGCUGAGGCACGAAAGCGUGGGUAUCGAACAGGAUUAGAUACCCCAGUACC